This is a long non-coding RNA of Enhydra lutris kenyoni (northern sea otter), 1102 nucleotides long. RefSeq lists it as uncharacterized. The transcript has 3 exons. NCBI's taxonomy places the organism in Eukaryota, Metazoa, Chordata, Mammalia, Carnivora, Mustelidae. The record is from RefSeq and is a predicted model, not a curated record.
CGAGGAUACAUCCUUAUUGGUUGGAGAGUUGAGUUGAGCAAGUUUUUGGUUUCUCCAGAAGUGAAUUUUACAUCCAAAGAAGAAAACCCUAAGCAUAUACUGAGCUCAGCCUGAUGCUCCUAGGCCCGGGUCCUGUGCUGGACAAUGUCCCUGAAGGACCCCGCGAUCACCGCACAGCCGAGCUCACCACUCUAGUUGAAAUCCGAAGCUACAGCAUUCCCACGGGCUCCCGAGGGCAUCGUGGGCCCAAGGUACCUCAGCCACCGCACCUGAGCGGGGAGAAGUGCCCCUGCCUCGUGGUCCUGGAGGAUGGCUCAGACACCCACCGCAGGUUUGGGGACCAGUCCCUUUUCACAGGGGUGGUAAGGGAUGGAGACUGCACUACCCCCUCCUGACUCGAACCAAAUGUCUCCUCCUGGGCUUUGGUCUUGUUGAGUGCCGCCGGCCCCCGACCGGCACCCCCUGGCCAGGUAGCCCGGGCACAAUUUUGACCCGAGGCUACUUAUUGUGUGAGAGACCUCAAGGGCUUCCGUCCUAUGCCUGUUGGCCUCCCUGCGGUCUCCGCGUGCCCUUUCCUGCCUCCGUCUCCGCGGAGCGGUCCUGUCUGCUGCCCUUCAGUCUCUCGUGGGACCCUCGGCCUCUCUCGCCCUACCUGGGCAUCAGGUGUGCUAGCAUUUACUUACACCGUUUCCUUCCAUCACUUCACCCUUGGCACACCUUAGGAAGCAAAUGAAACCUCGUCCUUAGCAAAAAUAGCCCCGAGUCACGGUUCCUUGGGCCCCGCUCAUCGGAGGGGGGCUCUGGAGCCAGAGGGAUGCCGGCGGCCUCCGGCUCGCUCAUCCCUUGCGAGCUGGCGGGGCUGCGGAUCUGCUUGGUCUCACUCUGCCCUGGUUUCCUCGUCUGUAAGAGGAGAGCAACGACCUCGGCAGCGUGCUGCCGGAGUGACUGAGAUGACACACAGGAACUGUGGCUGAUGGCCCUGCCCUGCCCUCCCCCAUCUGGACAGCAGCCCAUCUUGUGUUCCUUUACUCACAGGCGCCAUGAGAGCAGAGAGCCGCUGGUUCGUCGCCGGCGGUCGGCAACGAGGACAGAUCGUGAUCUU